AUGAACCUUUGGAAUGAGUUGCAGCCGAUCCAACUCACUCAGGCUCAAGAUUAUUCACUAACCUGGAGAUGGACAAACGAUGGUCAGUUUUCCUCCAGCUCGGCGUACGCUGCCACUCUUACUACCAACAUUAGGCCACCUUAUGCGAAGCUGGCCUGGAGCUCGGAUGCCCCUCCCAAAUGUCAGUUCUUCGUUUGGCUGGCUGCUCAAGAUCGAUGUCUAACGGCGGAUAACCUUGCUAAGCGAGGGUGGCCCCAUAAUCCGCUGUGUCUGCUAUGUCUACAAGAGCCUGAAACUGCUGCCCACCUGCUUACUUCUUGCUCUUUUGUGAAGGAAGUUUGGCACCUGACACUCUGCAAGCUGAACAUGAGCCCGGCUAUGGCGGCAGUUCAUGACGAUUCCCUAGUUAGCUAG
Molecule: ribosomal RNA, 414 nt
Filed under: Triticum aestivum (bread wheat)
Lineage: Eukaryota; Viridiplantae; Streptophyta; Magnoliopsida; Poales; Poaceae
Description: partial small subunit ribosomal RNA
Source: RNAcentral